RNAcentral lists this ribosomal RNA (369 nucleotides) under uncultured bacterium. Its description in RNAcentral is "bacterial SSU rRNA". It matches the Rfam family "Bacterial small subunit ribosomal RNA", at positions 527 to 896 of the family's 1533-position model. The record is from RNAcentral.
GUAGGGUGCAAGCGUUAAUCGGAAUUACUGGGCGUAAAGCGUGCGCAGGCGGUUUUGUAAGACAGUGGUGAAAUCCCGGGGCUCAACCUGGGAACUGCCAUUGUGACUGCAAGGCUGGAGUGCGGCAGAGGGGGAUGGAAUUCCGCGUGUAGCAGUGAAAUGCGUAGAUAUGCGGAGGAACACCGAUGGCGAAGGCAAUCCCCUGGGCCUGCACUGACGCUCAUGCACGAAAGCGUGGGGAGCAAACGGGAUUAGAUACCCUGGUAGUCCACGCCCUAAACGAUGUCAACUGGUUGUUGGGGAUUUAUUUUCUCAGUAACGAAGCUAACGCGUGAAGUCGACCGCCUGGGGAGUACGGCCGCAAGGUUA